GUUCUGGUAGCUUAAUUUAAAGCUUGAUGUUGAAAAUAUCGUGAUGGUUAUUACCCUUGAAUA
RNAcentral lists this transfer RNA (63 nucleotides) under Magadhaideus sp. n. SX-2018. RNAcentral's name for it is "tRNA-Phe". Lineage: Eukaryota; Metazoa; Arthropoda; Insecta; Hemiptera; Achilidae. The record is from RNAcentral.